This 470-nucleotide ribosomal RNA is filed under the name uncultured bacterium. RNAcentral's name for it is "bacterial SSU rRNA". It matches the Rfam family "Bacterial small subunit ribosomal RNA", at positions 355 to 823 of the family's 1533-position model. The record is from RNAcentral.
UGGGGAAUUUUGGACAAUGGGGGCAACCCUGAUCCAGCAAUGCCGCGUGAGUGAAGAAGGCCUUCGGGUUGUAAAGCUCUUUUGUCAGGGAAGAAACGGUAGUAGCGAAUAACUACUACUAAUGACGGUACCUGAAGAAUAAGCACCGGCUAACUACGUGCCAGCAGCCGCGGUAAUACGUAGGGUGCAAGCGUUAAUCGGAAUUACUGGGCGUAAAGCGUGCGCAGGCGGUUGUGUAAGUCAGAUGUGAAAUCCCCGGGCUCAACCUGGGAAUUGCAUUUGAGACUGCACGGCUAGAGUGUGUCAGAGGGGGGUAGAAUUCCACGUGUAGCAGUGAAAUGCGUAGAUAUGUGGAGGAAUACCGAUGGCGAAGGCAGCCCCCUGGGAUAACACUGACGCUCAUGCACGAAAGCGUGGGGAGCAAACAGGAUUAGAUACCCCGGUAGUCCCUGAGCGGGCUGGCAAGGCGC